CAUCGCUCUUUGUAAAAUUGUUAAUGUAUAAAGAGUCCUGCCUGCCCAGUGACGUUGUUAAACGGCCGCGGUAUCUUGACCGUGCAAAGGUAGCAUAAUCAUUUGCCCUUUAAAUGGGGGCUGGUAUGAAUGGCAAGACGGAGGCUAAGCUGUCUCUUUCUUAUAUCUUGAAUUUAAUAUUUUUGUGAAGAAGCAGAAAUAUGUCCGCAGGACGAGAAGACCCUAUCGAGCUUAAGCACAAAAGGUAUUAACAAAUUUGUCGGGCUUUGUUCCUAAUUUAAUUAAGAUUUAAUUAUCACAAGAUUAAUUACUUUAGCCCAAAAAUGUUAAGUGCAGCUGUUUUGAUUGGGGCAAUCGUGGAGAAGAAAAUCCUCCAUUAGAAAAUAAAAAAAACUACAGUUUUGUUGGUUAAAUUAAGUGAUCCGCCGCAUGGCGAGCAAAGGAAUAAGUUACCGUAGGGAUAACAGCGUAAUUUUUUUGGAGAGUUCAUAUUGAUAAAAAAGUUUGCGACCUCGAUGUUGGAUCGGGAUUUCCUGGGGAUGCAGCAGUUCCCAAGGGUUGGUCUGUUCGACCAUUAAAAUCCUACGUGAUCU
RNAcentral lists this ribosomal RNA (593 nucleotides) under Asteroidea sp. SP-2014. Its description in RNAcentral is "partial 16S ribosomal RNA". It matches the Rfam family "Bacterial large subunit ribosomal RNA", at positions 1814 to 2606 of the family's 2925-position model. The record is from RNAcentral. Lineage: Eukaryota; Metazoa; Echinodermata; Asteroidea.